Molecule: long non-coding RNA, 1291 nt
Filed under: Equus caballus (horse)
Lineage: Eukaryota; Metazoa; Chordata; Mammalia; Perissodactyla; Equidae
Description: lncRNA (ENSECAG00000047009.1)
Source: RNAcentral
CUUGGUGGGGGUGGAGCCCUCAUGAACGAGCUCAGUGCGCCUAUAACAGGGACCUCAGAGAGCACCCUUGCCCCUUCCACCAUGCGAGGACACAGCAAGAAGAUGGCCAUCUAUGAACCAGAAAGUGGGCCCUCGCCAGACACCGGGUCUGCUGGUUGCUUGAUCUCAGACUUCCAGCCUCCAGGCUGUGAGAAGACGCCUACCACAGCAUGGCUUGACAAGCAGUGGGUAGGUCUGCACCCAGGAUCUGAACCAGCAAACCCUGGGCUGCUGAAGUAGAACAUGCAAACUUAACUGCUGUGCCACCAGCCUGCCCCUCCUGACACUUUUGUUUUUGAAGAGGAAAUUCCAGUCACCCAGCCAGCAACAAGGACCUGCUGGUGCGUCUUCCCUGAGUCAGGUCCUUUGACGUGGGGACGUGGCUGCAGGGAGCUCCUCAGCGAAGGAUUCGUCAGCAAAGCCUGCAAGAGAGGAGAGGGGCAGGUGGGGCAGGGGAAAGAGCUGGUCCUCGGGGGUCUCGGACAGAGUCUCUGGAAUGUACGGGGUUGAGCUCUGGAGCACGGACCACACUGCAGAGAUGAAGAUCUGUUCUUCAUACCUCUACAGUCGAUCCUUGUCCGCGAUCCUCCCUGGGGAACGCGUAACUUCCUGCGCAAGGCAGCUCACGUCGAUUCAAAGCGAUUCUCUGGAGAAGGAGGCCGUGUCAGUCAUUGGCAUCCAACACUCAAGCAACCGGGAGGUGCAGCCAUUGACUCAGAACAGGGCAUCUGAGUGGGGCCCCACGGCACCUGCUACGGCGCGCCCCUGGCCUGCUCGGGCUCACCGGCUUCUCUCACCCAGGGACCAGGGGGCAGCUGUAGCUCCAUCCUGAUGACUUAGAUCAAACGCUCCGCGUUUGAAGCUCCUGAGCGGAAGACACCAGCCCCGCGCAUACCCACCACCUCGGAGCAUCGGGUCCUGAGUCGACGACUGUGAGCCAGGCUCACGCAGGUUGGUGAGGCCAUGGGACAGUGAAAUGUGAGCAGAAGUGACACAUGUCACUUCCAGGCAGAGGCGGUGAAUGGCCCAGUGUCUUUCUCGACACCGUGAACAGACGGCAUAUGAACAUGGAGGCUCCCCACCGCCCUGGGUCUCUGAGUGUCUGCGUGGAGCUGAGUGUGCAGACUCAGGAUGCUGGGAGGUGCCCUGAGGCUGCCAGUGCCCAGAGCCUAGCUCAGCCUUCCCAAGCCAUGUCCAGGGGAUGACAGGAGUCCUGGCUGGCCACUCGCUGCUCGCUCUUGGCAGAAUCCCU